GACGAACGCUGGUGGCGUGCUUAACACAUGCAAGUCGAACGGGAUUUAGUAAACAGAAGCCUCGGUGGAAGAUUACUAAUGAGAGUGGCGAACGGGUGAGUAACGCGUGAGCAACCUGCCUAUGACAGUGGGAUAGCCUCGGGAAACCGGGAUUAAUACCGCAUAAAAUCGUAGAAACACAUGUUUUAACGGUCAAAGAUUUAUCGGUCAUAGAUGGGCUCGCGUCUGAUUAGCUAGUUGGUGAGAUAACAGCCCACCAAGGCGACGAUCAGUAGCCGGUCUGAGAGGAUGAACGGCCACAUUGGAACUGAGACACGGUCCAAACUCCUACGGGAGGCAGCAGUGGGGAAUAUUGCACAAUGGGGGAAACCCUGAUGCAGCGACGCCGCGUGAACGAGGAAGGUAUUCGUAUCGUAAAGUUCUGUCCUAUGGGAAGAUAAUGACAGUACCAUAGAAGAAAGCUCCGGCUAAAUACGUG
Molecule: ribosomal RNA, 478 nt
Filed under: uncultured bacterium
Lineage: Bacteria
Description: partial 16S ribosomal RNA
Rfam family: Bacterial small subunit ribosomal RNA
Source: RNAcentral